This is a long non-coding RNA of Scylla paramamosain (green mud crab), 1376 nucleotides long. RefSeq lists it as uncharacterized. The transcript is spliced from 6 exons. NCBI's taxonomy places the organism in Eukaryota, Metazoa, Arthropoda, Malacostraca, Decapoda, Portunidae. The record is from RefSeq and is a predicted model, not a curated record.
GCUUACUCCAGCCCACCUAACCCCUUAUCAUGUUGCUCUCAGUGUUUCUCCCUCUUCUCCUGGCUGCUGUUGUCCCUCCUCCCUCUUCCUUCUGCCUCCUCCUCCCCCUGAAGGCCCUGACUACCCUAGCAAUGACCUGCCCAGCUUGCAGUACCUCCCACAUAACACCCUUGUAUCCUAUCACCACCAGGGGCUCCUAGGGGAUGAAGAGGAGACGAGAGAUCCCUAUGUCCCUCAACCUUCCUCUUCUUCUUCUUCCUCCUCCUCUUCAUCUUGUACUGUGGAUGACCUGGCGAGGUAUUUAAAUGUGGAUGACCUAUAUUAUCUCAUCGAGGUGUUGUCUAAGGUGGAAAGCGUCAGUGUUAAGGAGGUUCUCAUGAGGCUGGCUGUCAAACAUGGCCUCUAUUUGAAGGAGAAGGAACACCCAAUUAAGAAACCUGUGCGAGAAUUACAGACCAUCGGGAUACAAGAAGAAGAAGAGGAAGACUCCCAACCCUCUCUCAGAUCUCCGCUGAAUUUGCAGGAGCUUCAAUUCCACUCCCCCUCCUCCUCCUCCUCCUCCUCCUCCCCUUCCACCUCCUCCUCUUCCUCCUUCCUCCACCAGCAGCGCCGUCCUCCUCCUCCUCCACCUCCUCCAGCCCUCCAUUCCUCCCUCUGGUCUGAGGAAGCCGAAGAAAUGUACCAGCCAGUGCCCAAUGAGGUCCCAGCAGUCACUCCCCCCAGCCACCCACCCCGCGCCCUGCUGGUGGUGGUGGCAGGUGAUGGAAAGGAGACUGCGCGUUCUGAGGUAAUCCUUGGUCCUCAUAUGGCGCUUCUUGAUGUACUUAACCAAGCCAGCUUCUCCUACUCUCUUCAAUACGGCCCGUAUGCGCCCAACCCUCUGGCUGUGAAGGUUCGGCCUAUUCCCCUCUGAUCGCUGCCUAGGCCUCCUUUCAGUAGGCUCAAUCAUGGCGACACCUACAAGACCCUUACACCUGUCAGUCACCCGGACACGCCCCACGGAGAAGAAUAUAUGGGAGAGUGUAUGCCUCCCACGCGCUACAGAGCUGAUCGUACAUCGCGGCGACAUUAUCGUACUUGCGCCGCGCUGACUGAUUGGCUGACUGGACUGCCUAACCACGCCCACCUCCUCAACCCCGCUGCCUGACGCAUGAUACGAUAUAAAUCUAAGGAGUUUUUUUCUUUGUUUUGAAUGUCUUACACGGUUCCAAAAUUAUCGUAUAUUCAUGAAAGUAUGUAUAUCUUUGUUUUUCAGUGUAUUUCAGAGUAAUACGAGGAGCAAAAGAGUAAAUAAAAUAAUAUGCAAGGAGAUAAACACAAGAAAGGGUUAAAUAGGUAUUAAUGUAGGUGUUUCGUGAAUAAAGAAAGUAAUAAUU